This 11527-nucleotide long non-coding RNA is filed under the name Homo sapiens (human). Its description in RNAcentral is "non-protein coding LINC02569:10". The record is from RNAcentral. Lineage: Eukaryota; Metazoa; Chordata; Mammalia; Primates; Hominidae.
AGAACGACCGAGUUUCUCUCAGCCGAGAACUGUGGCUGCCCCUCCGGUGAAAACAGAGGAAGUGGGAGCGGCAGGAAGCGCUUUGGGACCAGGGCGACCCCUGAAGCGUAGAGGAACCAGGUCACAAGCAUACGUGAAUGCUCACAUUCCAUAGUUAUCAAAUGUAUUCAGGUUUAAAUUUUACUUUUCUAGAAAAAAUGUAAAUAAUCCGUUGAGAAUAUUUAAUGAAAAAUGUUGGUCGUAUCUUUAUCUGGUCUGCGGCUCUGUCCCUGUUUCCUGGAUAGGAGACUACGUCUGUAUCUUGUAUCACAGGAGGCACCUUCUUCCUGUUUCCUGGCACAGACUUUAAAUCUUAGUGCUCCUCACUCUUUGCGUCUACGCUGCUUUUAUGAACUGUUAACACUCACUGUGAAGGUCUGCAGCUUCACUCCUUAAGCCAGCGAGACCACAAACCCACUGGGAGGGAUAAACAACUCCAGACGGGAGGAACAAACAACUUCGGGUGCACCACCUUUAUGAACUGUAGCACUCACUGUGAAGGUCUGCAGCUUCACUCCUGAGGCCAGCAAGACCACGAACCCACCAGAAGGAACGAACAACUCCAGAUAUGCCACCUUUAAGGGCUAUAACACUCACCGCGGAAGUCUGCAGCUUCACUCCUGAAGUCAGUGAGACCAUGAACCCACCAGAAGGAAGAAACUCUGGACACAUCUGAACAUCUGAAGGAACAAACUCUGGACACACCAUCUUUAAGAACUGUAACACUCACCGCGAGGGUACACGGCUUCAUUCUUGAAGUCAGCGAGACUAAGAACCCAACAAUUCCGGACACAGCAUGAUCUUGGUUCACUACAACCUGGAUCUCCCAGAGUCAAGCAAUCCUCUCGUCUCAGUCUCCCAAGUAGCUGGAACUACAGGUAUUUCUGGUCUUUAAAGACACUUGGAAAAGACAGACUUGUUGAAUACUUAGAAAGGCCAAGCCACAGCCAGAAGCUUGGUGUCUGGGAUCCAUCAUCUCUAAGGUUUUAAAAGCAUCUUGCUGGAAUAGGAACAGCUCCGGUCUGCAGCUCUCAGCAAGACCAACACAGAAGAUGGGUGAUUUCUGCAUUUCCAGCUGAGGUACCUGGUUCAUCUCAUUGGGACUAGUUGGACAGUGGGUGCAGCCCAUGGAGGGCGAGCCAAAGCAGGGCAGGGCAUCGCCUCACCUGGGAAGUGCAAGGGGUCAGGGGAUUUCCCUUUCCUAGCCAAGGGAAGCCGUGACAGACUGUACCUGGAGGAACAGUACACUCCUGCCCAAAUACUGGGCUUUUCCCAUGGUCUUCACAACUGACAGACCAGGAGAUUCCCUCCCGUGCCUGGCUCGGUGGGGCUCAUGCCCAUGGAUCCUUGCUUACUGCCAGUGCAGCAGUCUUAAGAUUGGCCUGGCAUGCUGCAGCUUGUUGGGGGGGUGGGAGGGCGUCCGCCAUUCCUGAGGCUUGAGUAGGCAGUUUUAUGCUCACAGUGUAAACAGGCCGGGAAGCUUGAACUGGGUGGAGCCCACUGCAGCUCAGCAAGGCCUACUGCCUCUCUAGAUUCCACCUCUGUGGGCAGGGCAUGUCAGAACAAAAGGCAGCAGACAGCUUUGGCAGACCUAAACGCCCCUGUCUGACAGUUCUGAAGAGAGCAGUGGUUCUCCCAGCAUGGCAUUUGAGCUCCGAAAAUGGACAGACUGCCUCCUCAAGUCGGUCCUUGACCCCCGUGUACCCUGACUGGGAGACACCUCCCAGUAGGGGCCAACAGACACCUCACACAGGCAGGUGCCCCUCUGGAACAAAGCUUCCAGAGGAAGGAUCAGGCAGCAAUAUUUGCUGUUCUGCAGCCUCCGCUAGUGAUAUCCAGGCAAACAGGGUCUGGAGUGGACCUCCAGCAAAUUCCAACAGACCUGCAGCUGAGGGUCCUGACUGUUAGAAGGAAAACUAACAAACAGAAAGGAAUAGCAUCAACACCAACAAAAAGGACAUCCACACCAAAACCCCAUCUGUAGGUCACCAACAUCAAAGACCAAAGGUAGAAAAAACCACAAAGAUGGGAAGAAACCAGAGCAGAAAAGCUGAAAAUUCCAAAAACCAGAUUGCCUCUUCUCCUCCAAAGGAUCACAGCUCCUCACCAGCAAGGGAACAAAACUGGAUGGAGAAUGAGUUUGACAAGUUGACAGAAGUAGGCUUCAGAAGGUUGGUAACAAACUUCUGCGAGCUAAAGGAGGAUGUUCAAACCCAUCGCAAGGAAGCUGAAAACCUUGAAAAAAGGUUAGACAAAUGGCUAACUAGAAUAAACGGUAUAGAGAAGACCUUAAAUGACCUGAUGGAGCUGAAACCCAUGGCACGAGAACUACAUGACUCAUGCACAAGCUUCAGUAGCUGAUUCAAUCAAGUGGAAGAAAGGGUAUCAGUGAUUGAAGAUCAACUCAAUGAAAUAGAGCAAGAAGACAAGAUUAGAGAAAAAAGAAUGAAAAGAAAUGAACAAAGCCUCCAAGAAAUAUGGGACUAUGUGAAAAGACCAAAUCUACAUUUGACUGGUGUACCUGAAAGUGACGGGGAGAAUGGAACCAAGUUACAAAAUACUCUUCAGGAUGUUAUCCAGGAGGACUUCCCUAACCUAGCAAGGCAGGAAAACAUUCAAAUUUAGGAAAUACAAAGAACACCACAAAGAUACUUCUUAAGAAGAGCAACUCCAAGACACACAAUUGUCAGAUUCACCAAGGAUGAAAUGAAGGAAAAAAUGUUAAGGGCAGCCAGAGAGAAAGGUCGGGUCACCCACAAAGGGGAGCCCAUCAGACUAACAGCGGAUCUCUCAGCAGAAACCUUACAAGCCAGAAGAGAGUGGGGGCCAAUAUUCAACAUUUUUAAGAAAAGAAUUUUCAAACCAGAAUUUCAUAUCCAGCCAAACUAAGCUUCAUAAGUGAAGGAGAAAUAAAAUCCUUUACAGACAAGCAAAUGUUGAGAGAUUUUGUCACCACCAGGCCUGCUUUACAAGAGCUCCUGAAGGAAGCACUAACCAUGGAAAGGAACAACUGGUAUCAGCCACUGCCACUGCAAAAACAUGCCAAAGUGUAAAGACCAUUGACACUAUGAAGAAACUGCAUCAAUUAAUGGGCAAAAUAACCAGCUAACAUCAUAGUGACAGGAUCAAAUUCACCCAUAACAAUAUUAAUCUUAAAUGUAAAUAGGCUAAAUGCCCCAACUGAAAAACAGACUGACAAAUUGGAUAAAAAGUCAAGACCCAUCGUUGUACUGUAUUCAGGAGACCCAUUUCAUGUGCAAAGAUACAAAUAGGCUCAAAAUAAAGGGAUGGAGGAAGAUCUACCGAGCAAAUGGAAAGCAAAAAAAAAAUCAGGGGUUGCAAUCCUCGUUUCUGACUAAAAAAAAAAAAAAAGAUUUCAAACCAACAAAGAUCAAAAGAGAGAAAGAAGGGCAUUACAUAAUGGUAAAGGGAUCAAUUCAAUAAGAAGAACUAACUAUCCUAAAUACAUAUGCACCCCAAACAGGAGCACCCAGAUUCAUAAAGCAAGUCCUUGGAGACCUACAAAGAGAUUUAGACUCCCACACAGUAAUAAUGGGAGACUUUAAUACCCCACUGUCAAUAUUAGACAGAUCAAUGAGACAGAAGGUUAACAAGCAUAUCCAGGACUUGAACUCAGCUCUGGACCAAGGGGACCGAAUAGACAUCUACAGAACUCUCCACCCCAAAUCAACAGAAUAUACAUUCUUCUCAGCACCACAUCACGCUUAUUCUAAAAUUGACCACAUAAUUGGAAGUAAAACACUCCUCAGCAAAUAUAAAAGAACAGAAAUCACAACAAACUGUCUGUCAGACCACAGUGCAAUCAAAUUAGAACUCAGGAUUAAGAUUCACUCAAAACUGCACAACUACAUGGAAAUUGAACUACCUGCUCCUGAAUGACUACUGGGUAAAUAAUGAAAUGAAGGCAGAAAUAAAGAUGUUGUUUGAAACCAAUGAGAACAAAGACACAACAUACCAGAAUCUCUGGGACACAUUUAAAGCAGUGUGUAGAGGGAAAUUUAGAGCACUAAAUGCCCACAAGAGAAAGCAGGAAAGAUCUAAAAUCAACACCCUAACAUCACAAUUAAAAGAACUAGAGAAGCAAGAGCAAACACAUUCAAAAGCUAGCAGAAGGCAAGAAAUUACUAAGAUCAGAGCAGAACUGAUGGAGAUAGAGACACAAAAAACCCUUCCAAAAAAUCAGUGAAUCUAGGAGCUGGUUUUUUGAAAAGAUCAACAAAAUUGAUAGACUGCUAGCAAGACUAAUAAAGAAGAAAAGAGAGAAGAAUCAAAUAGACACAAUAAAAAAUGAUAAAGGGGACAUCACCACCAAUCCCUCAGAAAUACAAACUACCAUCAGGAAUACUAUAAACACCUCUACACGAAUAAACUAGAAAAUCUAGAAGAAAUGAAUAAAUUCCUGGACACAUACACCCUCCCAAGACUAAACCAGGAAGAAGUUGAAUCCCUGAAUAGACCAAUAACAGGCUCUGAAAUUGAGGCAAUAAUUAAUAGCCUACCAACCAAAAAAAGUCCAGGACCAGACGGAUUCACAGCCAAAUUCUACUGGAGGUACAAAGAGGAGUUGGUACCAUUCCUUCGGAAACUAUUCCAAUCAAUAGAAAAAGAGAGAAUCCUCCCUAACUCAUUUCAUGAGAACAGCAUCAUCCUGAUACCAAAGCCUGGCAGAGACACAACAAAAAAAGAAAAUUUAAGCCAAUAUCCCUGAUGAACAUCAAUGCAAAAAUCCUCAAUAAAAUACUGGCAAACGAAAUCCAGCAGCACAUCAAAAAGCUUAUCCACCAUGAUCAAGCCGGCUUCAUCCCUGGGAUUCAAGGCUGGUUCAACAUAUGCAAAUCAAUAAAUGUAAUCCAUCACAUAAACAGAACCAACGACAAAAACCACAUGAUUAUCUCAAUAGAUGUAGAAAAGGCCUUCGACAAAAAUUCAACAACCCUUCAUGCUAAAAACUCUCAAUAAACUAUGUAUUGAUGACAUAUUUCAAAAUAAUAAGAGCUAUUUAUGACAAACCCACAGUCAAUAUCAUACUGAAUGGGCAAAAACUGGAAGCAUUCCCUUUGAAAAUUGGCACAAGACAAGGAUGCCCUCUCUCACCACUCCUAGUCAACAUAGUGGUGGAAGUUCUGGCCAGGGCAAUCAAGCAAGAGAAAGAAAUAAAGGGUAUUCAAUUAGGAAAAGAGGAAGUCAAAUUGUCUCUGUUUGCAGAUGACAUGACUGUAUAUUUAGAAAACACCAUCAUCUCAGCCCAAAAUCUCCUUAAGCUGAUAAGCAACUUCAGCAAAGUCUCAGGACACAAAAUCAUUGCACAAAAAUCACAAGUAUUCCUAUAUACCAAUAACAGACAAACAGAGAGCCAAAUCAUGAAUGGACUCCCAUUCACAAUUACUACAAAGAAAAUAAAAUACCUAGGAAUCCAACUUACAAGGGAUGUGAAGGACCUCUUCAAGGAGAACUACAAACCACUGCUCAACAAAAUAAAAGAGGACAAACAAACGGAAGAACAUUCUAUGCUCAUGGAUAGGAAGAAUCAAUAUCGUGAAAAUGGCCAUACUGCCCAAGGUAAUUUAUAGAUUCAAUGCCAUCCCCAUCAAGCUACCAAUGACUUUCUUCACAGAAUUGGAAAAAACUACUUUAAAGUUCAUAUGGAACAAAAAAAGAGCCCACAUUGCCAAGACAAUCCUAAGCAAAAAGAACAAAGCUGGAGGCAGCACGCUACCUGACUUCAAACUAUAGUACAAGACUACAGUAACCAAAACAGCAUGGUAGUGGUACCAAAACAGAUAUAUAGACAAAUGGAACAGAACAGAGGCCGCAGAAAUAACACCACACAUCUACAACCAUCUGAUCUUUGACAAACCUGACAAAAACAAGCAUGGGGAAAGGAUUUCCUGUUUAAUAAAUGGUGCUGGGAAAACUGGCUAGCCAUAUGUAGAAAGCUGAAACAGGAUCCCUUCCUUACACUUUAUACAAAAAUUAACUCAAGAUGUAUUAAAGACUUAAACAUAAGACCUAAAACCAUAAAAACCCUAGAAGAAAACCUAGGCAAUACUAUUCAGGACAUAGGCAUGGAUAAAUGCUUCAUGACUAAAACACCAAAAGCAAUGGCAACAAAAGCCAAAAUAGACAAAUGGGAUCUAAUUAAACUAAAGAGCUUCUGCACAGCAAAAGAAACUAUCAUCACAGUGAACAGGCAACCUACAGAAUGGGGAAAAAUUUUGCAAUCUACCCAUCUGGCAAAGGGCUAAUAUCCAGAAGCUACAAAGAACUUAAACAAAUUUACAACAAAAAAAUCAAACAACCCCAUCAACAAGUGGGCGAAGGAUAUGAACAGACACUUCUCAAAAGAAGACAUUUAUGCAGCCAAAAGACAUAUGAAAAAAUGCUCAUCAUCACUGGUCACCAGAGAAAUGCAAAUCAAAACCACAAUGAGAUGCCAUCUCACGCCAGUUAGAAUGGUGAUCAUUAAAAAGUCAGGAAACAACAGAUGCUGGAGAGGAUGUGGAGAAAUAAGAACACUUUUACACUGUUGGUGGGAGUGUAAAUCAGUUCAACCAUUGUGGAAGACAAUGCAGCGAUUCCUCAAGGAUCUAGAACUAGAAAUACCAUUUGACCCAGCCAUCCCAUUACUGGGUAUAUACCCAAAGGAUUAUAAAUCAUGAUAAGGACACAUGCACAUGUAUGUUUAUUGCGGCACUAGUCACAGUAGCAAAGACUUGGAACCAACCCAGAUGUCCAUCAAUGAUAGACUGGAUUAAGAAAAUGUGGCACAUAUACACCGUGGAAUACUAUGCAGCCAUAAAAAAGGAUGAGUUCAUGUCCUUUGCAGGGACAUGGAUGAAGCUGGAAACCAUCAUUCUCAGCAAACUAUCACAAGGACAGAAAACCAAACACUACAUGUUCUCACUCAUAAGUGGGAGUUGAACAAUGAGAAUACACAGACACAGGGCAGGGAACAUCACACACCGAGGCCUGUGGGGGGGUUGGGGGUUAGGGAAGGGAUAGCAUUAGGAGAACUACCUAAUGUAAAUCACCAGUUGAUGGGUGCAGCAAACCACCAUGGCACAGGUAUACCUAUGUAACAAACAUGCAUGUUGUGCACAUGUACCCCAGAUCUUAAAGUAUAAUAAAAUAAAAAAUAAAAAAAAUCUUCCCUACUUUUUAAACUGUAUGUUGCUUUGUAGCAAUACAUUAUGCACAUUAUAAAGUGUUUUAAUUAGAAAUUUUAGAAGAUAUGAUAAAGAAAAAUAAUUUAAAUAACAAUUUUUAUUCAAAAUACAAAUAAUAGGGCUGGGCGCGGUGGCUGACGCCUGUAAUCCUAGCACUUUGGCAGGCCGAGGCGGGCAGAUCACGAGGUCAGGAGUUCAAGACCAGCCUGGCCAACAUGGUGAAACCCUGUCUCUACUAAAAAUACAAAAAAUUAGCUGGGCGUAGUGGCGGGUGCCUGUAAUCCCAGCUACUCGGGAGACUAAGGCACAAGAAUCGCUUGAACCCGGGAGGCGGAGGUUGCAGUGAGCCGAGAUCGCACCACUGCACUCCAGCCUAGGCGACAGAGUGAGACUGUGUCUCAAAAAAGAAAAAAAAAGAAAAGAAAAGAAAAAGAAAAAAGAAUAUUUUGCCCUUAUAACAUUAUUAAUUAUAUACUUUCAAGUGAGAGCAAUAUGACUAAUUAUGCUUAAUUAUUUUUGAAAAUGAUGCUUUAACAAUUUGUAAUGCAGACAUUUGAUGGUCUGGUUCUAUGUUGAGUUCAUGUUGAUACUUGGUCUUAAGGACAGUUAGAGCUGAUAAAAAUAACUUGUGCAUAGACCAGGCGCGGUGGCUCACGCCUGUAAUACCAGCACUUUGGGAGUCUGAGGCGGGCGGAUCACGAGAUCAGGAGAUGGAGACCAUCCUGGCUAACACGGUGAAGCCCCGUCUCUAUUAAAAAUACAAAAAAAAUUAGCCAGGUGCGGUGGCAGGCACCUGUAGUCCCAGCUACUUGGAAGGCUGAGGCAGGAGAAUGGUGUGAACCUUGCAGUGAGCCGAGAUCACGCCACUGCACUACAGCCUGGGCAACAGAGCGAAACCCCGUCUCAAAAAAAAAAAAAAAGAAAGAAAAAAAAAAGAAAUAACUUCUGCACACAUCAUAACAUUCAUACAUAAUGAAUCAUUGAUAUACUCAUUAAAAUGUGACUCAUCCAGGAAAAUCCCAUCCCUAAAUUAUUUAAAGUUUUUGUUUUCCCUCAGCUACUAUUUCUGUUCUACCUUAUGCAAACUAAUGAGAAACCAUUGUCCCAAGACUGGUGGCCUCCUGGCAUGGUUGUGCAACAGCUGUUGUCAAACUCCAGAGUCUAAAGUGCACCACGAAAGCCAGAUGGCAGGCCAGAUCCAGCCUCCCUGCUAAAUGAAAUGUUCACUGGCCAGGGAGAAACAACCACGUGGAAAAUUAAAUAAACCCAUGACAUUUGUAGCCAGCAGCUCGGGUGUUUUGUAGGGUUUUCCCUGAGAAGUGGGGACUAAUCGCAUGAAUCACUUUUUUUUUCUUUUUAGAGUCUUAUCUAUUUGUGAAUAAAUGUUUCCAAUUAAAGCAUUGCUACUAAGCCUCAGUUUUCUCACCUCUACCAUGGAGUUAAAAUGUCUACUUCACACUGUCCAUAAAAGAAUUAAGAUGGCCGGGCGCGGUGGCUCACGCCUGUAAUCCCAGCACUUUGGGAGGCCGAGGCGGACGGAUCACGAGGUCAGGAGAUCGAGACCAUCCUGGCUAACACAGUGAAACCCCGUCUCUACUAAAAAUAUGAAAAACUAGCCUGGCGUGGUGGUGGACGCCUGUAGUCCCAGCUACUCAGGAGGCUAAGGCAGGAGAAUGGCGUGAACCCAGGAGGCGGAGCUUGCAGUGAGCCUAGAUUGUGCCACUGCACUCCAGCCUGGGCGACAGAGCAAGACUCCGUCUCAAAAAAAAAAAAAAAAAAAAAAAAAAAAAAAAAAAAAGCCAGGCAUGGUUGGUGGCUCACACCUGUAAUCUCAGAACUUUGGGAAACAGGCAGGAUCACUUCAGCCCAGAAGUGUGGGACCAGUCUGGGCAACAUAGUGAGAUCCUGUCUCUUAAAAAAAAAAAGAAAAGAAUCAAAAUAAAACAAGAAAACAAAAACACAGAACAAGUGCAUCAUCAUAGUGGUGACAAUUUUUAGGAAACUUUUUUUGUUUUUUUCUGUGUGAACCUAACUCAUCUAAUAAGGGAGUGUGUGAACAUUUCCAUGUUGGUCCAUUUUUUAUGUGCCUAAAUGGACAAAGUCACCCAGGACCUGGCUGCUGGACUCAUCCUUAGGAAGAAUAAAGAAAAAGGAAGUUUAUCUCUAGCAUCUUUCUCUUGCCCUUGUUUUCUUCCUGGCCACAGUCAUGCCCUGGAUUUCAGUGUCUCUAAACAUCUAGCAGCCUCUCACCCAGCAUAACCCCUGUUGAGGUCCAGGGCACGAUGGUGGGAGUGGGUGCAGAAGAGACAGAGAGACCACUGGUUUGAGUGUCUAGGGUUUGGGUCCUCAGGAAGAACUUGGCCCGGCGCGGUGGCUCACGCCCGUAAUCCAAACACUUCGGAGACCGAGGCGGUUGGAUCACCUGAGGUCAGGAGUUUGAGACCAGCCUGGCCAACAUGGUGAAACAACGUCUCUACUAAAAAUACAAAAAAUUAGCCAGGCGUGGUGGCAGGCACCUGUAAUCCCAGCUACUCAGGAGCUUGAGGCAGGAGAAUCACCUGAACUCGGGCCGCGGAGGUUGCAGUGAGCCGAGAUUGCGCCAGUGCACUCCACCCUGGGCAACAAGAGUGAAACUCCGUCUCAAAAAAAGAAAAAAAAAGAAGAAGAACUUCUUGACUUGACUCAGCAGGACUUUUUCCAUGGGUCUAAAGCUAGGUGUGAAGAGAGUGAGCUCGUGGUGAGAGGAACUUGUUCAUCAAAAGGAGUCCAUGCCCAGUGGCAGAAGUGGAGAGGUGGGUAUGGGACACACAGGGAAGCUGCUCUCUUCUGUUGUCUGUGGCUUCUGUUGGAGGAUGUGCUGUGGGAAUGCAAGGAGGAGAUGGAAGGAAGGUGUCAAUAUAGCUUUAACAAAGGAAAAAAAAAUGAAAACACCGAAACCACCCUUGCAAAAAUUGUAACAGUGAGAAAAUUAUGACAUUGAAAGAUAUCCAAUCUAACCCAACUCCUUCUUGCCUUUAACCUCCAAAUUGCACUUAGUCAUUCCUGAGCAAAGGCCAAGCUAACUUUGGGAGAAAUUUCGUUUACAGUUUAAAUGAUAAUAGCCCUUCCCAAAACUAACCUGUCUUUGUAAAAAUGAUGAAAGGCCACCAGGUUAGGGAGGAUGAGAGGGGCCUGAAUGCAGGCUUAGAUAAACAAUUACCCGCCAUUGUUUCAGAGGUCACAAGAUUUGUAACUUCCCCAAUUAGUCCUGUAAAAUGAUAUCACUGUGGCCUUUUGAGAUGUCUUUGCAGUUAUUUUUUGUUUUGUUUGCUUUGAGACAAGGUCUUGCUCUGUCACCAAGGCUGGAGUGCAGUGAUCAUAGCUCACUGCAGUCUCUAUCUCCUGGGCUCAAGUGAACCUUCCACCUCAGCCUUCCAAGUAGCUGGGACUGCAGGUGCAUGCCACCAUGCCUGGCCAGUUUUGUUGUUUUUUGGUUCUGGGGUGUUUUUUGCUUGUUUGUUUGUUUUGUUUUUGUAUUUUUAGUAGACAUGAUGUCUGGCUCUGUUGUUCAGGCUGGUCUCAAACUCCUGGACUCAAGCGAUCCUCCUGCCUCAGCCUCCCAAACUGCUGGGGUUACAGGCACGAGCCACCUUGCCCAGCUCAGGCUUUUCCAUUUUGGAAAACCAGAUGACUCCACCCAGAUCCAAGACCGGUCCUAUGGCCCCACUCAGAAGUGGACUCAGUGCACGAGGACCAUUUUCCACAUCCCUAUGAUUGCAUCCCAAUCAAUCAGCAGCACCCAUUCCCUAGCCACCUGCCCAGCAAACUAUCUUUUUUUUUCUUUUUUUCUUGAGACUCUGUCGCCCAGGCUGUAGUGCAGUGGUGCAAUCAUGGCUCACAGCAGCUUCAACCUCCCUGGCCCAGCCUCCCAAGUCACUGGGACUACAGGUGUACACCACCACACCUGGCUAAUUUUUAAAUUUUUUGUAGAGAUGGUGUCUUGCUGUGUUGUCCAGGCUGAUCUCAAACUCAAGGACUCAAGCAAUCCUCCUACCUCAGACUCGAAAAGUGCUGGGAUUACAGGUGUAAGCUGCCAUGCCCAACCCAAACUAUCUUGAAAAAGCCUUCAAAUUUGAGAGGAGGCUGAUAUAAGUAAUAAUAAGACUUCAGUCUCCUGUUUAACUGGCUCUAUGUAUAUAAAACUCUUUCUCUAUUGCAAUUCCCCUGUCUUCAUAAAUUGGCUCUAUCUGAGCAGCAGGCAAAAUGAACCAAUUGGGUGGUUACAACAGUAUCAGCAUAUACAGUAGAAUUGUAAUAUCCAU